UACCACAUGGGCCGAUCACUGGGAGGUCAUAAUAGUAGAGACCAUAGAGGAUUCAAACUCCUUCCUUGGUAUCCAGCACUACUCAGUUGUAACUGAGAUGGAGUCCGUCCGUUGUAGAAGUUCGUCUGGAAUCUAAUUCUAUUAUAGAAGUUCGGACGGAGUCCGAUUCUUGUAGGAGUCCGGAAGGAGGCCGCUUACUGUAGAAGCUCGGAUGGAGAUCGGUUGCCGUGGAAGUCUGGAUGGAGACCGCUUGCAAUAGAAGUUCGGACGGAAUUCACUUACUGUAGAAGCCCGGGUGAAAUUUGAAAGGUGGUCGACCACUGUAAAAACUUGGAUGGAGUCUGGUUACUGUAGAAGUUCUGCUGCUAGAAAAGCUCGGAUAUUGAUGAAGUCCGAAAGAAGCUCGAAGUAAAGUCGAUCGUGACAGGAGGAAGUCUGGAAGAGAUUCAGAGAGUAGUCGAUCACUGUAGAAAAUUGGCUGAUAGUGAAGCCCAGAAAGUAUUUAGAACAGUCCGAUAGACGACUGAAGGAGCUCAUUAUUGGAGAAAUUCAGAAGGUACGAUAGAAGUUCGUCCGUUGGAAGAAUCUGGAGGACACUGUAGAAGGUCGGCUGUUGGAGGAGUCCAGAUGGUACUGUGGAAGCUCGGAUGGCCGGGGGAGUUCAGAAAGACACCGCACA
This 679-nucleotide long non-coding RNA is filed under the name Elaeis guineensis (African oil palm). RNAcentral's name for it is "long non-coding RNA (EGUI_LNC016089)". Lineage: Eukaryota; Viridiplantae; Streptophyta; Magnoliopsida; Arecales; Arecaceae. The record is from RNAcentral.